UCCGUAGGGACCGAGCGUUGUCCGGAAUCAUUGGGCGUAAAGAGCGUGUAGGCGGCCUGUUAAGUCUUGCGUGAAAUCUCGGGGCUCAACCCCGAGCGGUCGUGAGAAACUGGCAGGCUAGAGUGCGGGAGAGGAGAGUGGAAUUCCUGGUGUAGCGGUGAAAUGCGCAGAUAUCAGGAGGAACACCCAUAGCGAAGGCAGCUUGCUGGGACGUUACUGACGCUAAGGCGCGAAAGCGUGGGGAGCGAACAGG
RNAcentral lists this ribosomal RNA (253 nucleotides) under uncultured bacterium. RNAcentral's name for it is "partial 16S ribosomal RNA". It matches the Rfam family "Bacterial small subunit ribosomal RNA", at positions 524 to 776 of the family's 1533-position model. The record is from RNAcentral.